AAGAAAAAUUGGUGGAUUUCAAGGAAUCAAGCAAUCAAAGGUGGUGAGCCCUCUAACAAGGGUAGAGAGAUUGUGCCCGAAGACUAGGAAUAAGAGUAUAUCAAACUCCUAGUACUCUUGCUGCAGUGGGCAGAUUCUGUGGACCAGCCUAUUAGA
Molecule: non-coding RNA, 156 nt
Organism: Theobroma cacao (cacao)
Lineage: Eukaryota; Viridiplantae; Streptophyta; Magnoliopsida; Malvales; Malvaceae
Source: RefSeq, a predicted model, not a curated record